UACGAAGGGUGCAAACGUUGCUCGGAAUCAUUGGGCGUAAAGCGCACGUAGGCGGCUUUGCAAGUCGGAUGUGAAAUCCCUCGGCUCAACCAAGGAAGUGCAUCCGAAACUGCAGAGCUUGAGUACUUAAGAGGAUCGCGGAAUUCCCGGUGUAGAGGUGAAAUUCGUAGAUAUCGGGAGGAACACCAGUGGCGAAGGCGGCGAUCUGGGAAGAUACUGACGCUGAGGCGCGAAAGCCAGGGGAGCGAACAGG
This 253-nucleotide ribosomal RNA is filed under the name uncultured bacterium. RNAcentral describes it as "partial 16S ribosomal RNA". It matches the Rfam family "Bacterial small subunit ribosomal RNA", at positions 524 to 776 of the family's 1533-position model. The record is from RNAcentral.